Molecule: long non-coding RNA, 269 nt
Filed under: Sus scrofa (pig)
Lineage: Eukaryota; Metazoa; Chordata; Mammalia; Artiodactyla; Suidae
Description: lncRNA (ENSSSCG00070022314.1)
Source: RNAcentral
GUGCAUCUACAUCAUUGUAUUUUACUAAUUUUUUUCUUUACUGUCUUUUCUGAAUGUAGGGAAUUAUUGACAUCAUCUACAAGGCAUAUUAACCAUGAAGAAAGACAGAUUUCAACUGUAUGUCCUCUUUCUGCAGAGACUGAAGAAGAGAUGUCAAGCAUCAUCAAGACAGGUCCACUGGGUAUGAGGACACAGAACAAGUUCCAUGGACCCCAGCUUCAAAAAACAUGACUCUACAGUGUGAAAUAAUUGAGGGUAAGCACUGCGAA